This 234-nucleotide ribosomal RNA is filed under the name uncultured bacterium. RNAcentral's name for it is "partial 16S ribosomal RNA". It matches the Rfam family "Bacterial small subunit ribosomal RNA", at positions 15 to 244 of the family's 1533-position model. The record is from RNAcentral.
AAUCAUGGCUCAGGAUGAACGCUAGCGACAGGCUUAACACAUGCAAGUCGAGGGGCAGCGGGGUGUAGCAAUACACCGCCGGCGACCGGCGCACGGGUGAGUAACGCGUAUCCAACCUGCCCAUCACUUGGGAAUAACCUUGCGAAAGUAAGACUAAUGCCCAAUGAUAUCCCACGAAGGCAUCCGAAUGGGAUUAAAGAUUUAUCGGUGAUGGAUGGGGAUGCGUCUGAUUAG